GGGAUUCCUUUAUGAGGUGCAACCAAAACAGCUGUUUGACAUUGCAACAGGGAUAUUAUGGCAGGCUGUCGAGAAUUAGUUCUUGAAUACUGUUAUGGUUUUGAUCACUAAAAUGGCUGUGACUUUUGGACUCUCUUUGAGUGUUUCUUGGAUUUGUUGCCUGCUAAUUGGAGGGAUAACUUGUUUUACACUUAAAGGUAAUGCUCAUGGGCAUCCUGCCUACACUGGACCUGAACCGACUGGAUCCUAUGCCCAAGCAAGUGUGGUGUCUGGUCCAAAUGUUAAAGCUACUGGCCACAAUGCCACGUGAGCGGAAGCUACUGGCCACAAUGCCACGUGAGCGGAAGCUACUGGCCACAAUGCCACGUGAGCGGAAGCUACUGGCCACAAUGCCACGUGAGCGGAAGCUACUGGCCACAAUGCCACGUGAGCGGAAGCUACUGGCCACAAUGCCACGUGAGCGGAAGCUACUGGCCACAAUGCCACGUCAGCGGAAGCAACUGGCCACAAAGCCACGUCAGCGGAAGCUACUGGCCACAAUGCCACGUCAAGUGUGAAGUCCGGCCCCUCAGCAGAAGCUUCAGGCCCCGGCGCCUCAGCAGAAGCUUCAGGCCCCGGCGCCUCAGCAGAAGCUUCAGGCCCCGGCGCCUCAGCAGAAGCUUCAGGCCCCGGCGCCUCAGCAGAAGCUUCAGGCCCCGGCGCCUCAGCAGAAG
Oncorhynchus kisutch (coho salmon) is the source of this 713-nucleotide long non-coding RNA. RefSeq lists it as uncharacterized. Lineage: Eukaryota; Metazoa; Chordata; Actinopteri; Salmoniformes; Salmonidae. The record is from RefSeq and is a predicted model, not a curated record. The transcript is spliced from 3 exons.